This 497-nucleotide ribosomal RNA is filed under the name uncultured bacterium. RNAcentral's name for it is "partial 16S ribosomal RNA". It matches the Rfam family "Bacterial small subunit ribosomal RNA", at positions 28 to 507 of the family's 1533-position model. The record is from RNAcentral.
GAUGAACGCUGGCGGCGUGCCUAAUACAUGCAAGUCGAGCGAACAGAUAAGGAGCUUGCUCCUUUGACGUUAGCGGCGGACGGGUGAGUAACACGUGGGUAACCUACCUAUAAGACUGGGAUAACUUCGGGAAACCGGAGCCAAUACCGGAUAAUAUUUCGAACCGCAUGGUUCGAUAGUGAAAGAUGGUUUUGCUAUCACUUAUAGAUGGACCCGCGCCGUAUUAGCUAGUUGGUAAGGUAACGGCUUACCAAGGCGACGAUACGUAGCCGACCUGAGAGGGUGAUCGGCCACACUGGAACUGAGACACGGUCCAGACUCCUACGGGAGGCAGCAGUAGGGAAUCUUCCGCAAUGGGCGAAAGCCUGACGGAGCAACGCCGCGUGAGUGAUGAAGGUCUUCGGAUCGUAAAACUCUGUUAUUAGGGAAGAACAUACGUGUAAGUAACUGUGCACGUCUUGACGGUACCUAAUCAGAAAGCCACGGCUAACUACGUG